UCGACUGUCCCUAUCAUUAGAGUGCAAGUUACCACGUGAGAUGUCCCCUUAAUCAUCUCAUAAACAGCAACUAGUCAUCAGAUAUGAAAACUAAAGGCAUGGAGUAGUUAGAUAUCAGAAACACGCAGAAUCUUAAGUGACUAUUUUAGAUAAGGUCAAAUCGAAAGUGACUAUUGACUACAGCAUAUUUGCUCCAUUUCUGUACUCUUUGUGGACUUACUCUGCCGUGCAGCUAGGCUGUUAUUUAACUUCUAAUGGUACCCCAAGA
Molecule: unclassified non-coding RNA, 268 nt
Filed under: Hevea brasiliensis (rubber tree)
Lineage: Eukaryota; Viridiplantae; Streptophyta; Magnoliopsida; Malpighiales; Euphorbiaceae
Source: RNAcentral